Molecule: ribosomal RNA, 264 nt
Filed under: uncultured bacterium
Lineage: Bacteria
Description: partial 16S ribosomal RNA
Rfam family: Bacterial small subunit ribosomal RNA
Source: RNAcentral
AUUGAACGCUGGCGGCAUGCCUUACACAUGCAAGUCGAACGGCAGCACGGGAGCAAUCCUGGUGGCGAGUGGCGAACGGGUGAGUAAUAUAUCGGAACGUGCCCAGUCGUGGGGAUAACGUAGCGAAAGCUACGCUAAUACCGCAUACGAUCUAUGGAUGAAAGCGGGGGAUACGCAAGACCUCGCGCGAUUGGAGCGGCCGAUAUCAGAUUAGGUAGUUGGUGAGGUAAAGGCUCACCAAGCCGACGAUCUGUAGCUGGUCUG